This 523-nucleotide ribosomal RNA is filed under the name uncultured bacterium. Its description in RNAcentral is "partial 16S ribosomal RNA". It matches the Rfam family "Bacterial small subunit ribosomal RNA", at positions 28 to 523 of the family's 1533-position model. The record is from RNAcentral.
GACGAACGCUGGCGGCGUGCCUAAUACAUGCAAGUCGAACGCUUUUUCUUUCACCGGAGCUUGCUCCAUCGAAAGAAAAAGAGUGGCGAACGGGUGAGUAACACGUGGGUAACCUGCCCAUCAGAAGGGGAUAACACUUGGAAACAGGUGCUAAUACCGUAUAACACUAUUUUCCGCAUGGAAGAAAGUUGAUAGGCGCUUUUGCGUCACUGAUGGAUGGACACGCGGUGCAUUAGCUAGUCGGUGAGGUAACGGCUCACCAAGGCAACGAUGCAUAGCCGACCUGAGAGGGUGAUCGGCCACACUGGGACUGAGACACGGCCCAGACUCCUACGGGAGGCAGCAGUAGGGAAUCUUCGGCAAUGGACGAAAGUCUGACCGAGCAACGCCGCGUGAGUGAAGAAGGUUUUCGGAUCGUAAAACUCUGUUGUUAGAGAAGAACAAGGAUGAGAGUAAAAUGUUCAUCCCUUGACGGUAUCUAACCAGAAAGCCACGGCUAACUACGUGCCAGCAGCCGCAGUAA